GUGCCAGCAGCCGCGGUAAUACGUAGGUGGCAAGCGUUGUCCGGAAUUAUUGGGCGUAAAGCGCGCGCAGGCGGUUUCUUAAGUCUGAUGUGAAAGCCCCCGGCUCAACCGGGGAGGGUCAUUGGAAACUGGGAAACUUGAGUGCAGAAGAGGAAAGUGGAAUUCCAAGUGUAGCGGUGAAAUGCGUAGAGAUUUGGAGGAACACCAGUGGCGAAGGCGACUUUCUGGUCUGUAACUGACGCUGAGGCGCGAAAGCGUGGGGAGCAAACAGGAUUAGAUACCCUGGUAGUCC
Molecule: ribosomal RNA, 292 nt
Filed under: uncultured bacterium
Lineage: Bacteria
Also listed under: 1 other name
Description: partial 16S ribosomal RNA
Rfam family: Bacterial small subunit ribosomal RNA
Source: RNAcentral